Molecule: ribosomal RNA, 511 nt
Filed under: uncultured bacterium
Lineage: Bacteria
Description: partial 16S ribosomal RNA
Rfam family: Bacterial small subunit ribosomal RNA
Source: RNAcentral
GACGAACGCUGGCGGCGUGCCUAAUACAUGCAAGUAGAACGCUGAAGGAGGAGCUUACUUCUCUGGAUGAGUUGCGAACGGGUGAGUAACGCGUAGGUAACCUGCCUGGUAGCGGGGGAUAACUAUUGGAAACGAUAGCUAAUACCACAUAAGAGUAGAUGUUGCAUGACAUUUACUUAAAAGGUGCAAUUGCACCACUACCAGAUGGACCUGCGUUGUAUUAGCUAGUUGGUGGGGUAACGGCUUACCAAGGCGACGAUACAUAGCCGACCUGAGAGGGUGAUCGGCCACACUGGGACUGAGACACGGCCCAGACUCCUACGGGAGGCAGCAGUAGGGAAUCUUCGGCAAUGGACGGAAGUCUGACCGAGCAACGCCGCGUGAGUGAAGAAGGUUUUCGGAUCGUAAAGCUCUGUUGUAAGAGAAGAACGAGUGUGAGAGUGGAAUGUUCACACUGUGACGGUAUCUUACCAGAAAGGGACGGCUAACUACGUGCCAGCCGCCGCGGUAA